This 72-nucleotide transfer RNA is filed under the name Ovis aries (sheep). It matches the Rfam family "tRNA". From Rfam's summary of the family: Transfer RNA (tRNA) molecules are approximately 80 nucleotides in length. Lineage: Eukaryota; Metazoa; Chordata; Mammalia; Artiodactyla; Bovidae. The record is from Rfam by way of RNAcentral.
UCCCUGGUGGCUCAGAUGGUAAAGCGUCUGCCUACAAUGCAGGAGACCCAUGUUUGAUCCAUGGGUCGGGAA